RNAcentral lists this ribosomal RNA (1250 nucleotides) under Casuarina equisetifolia subsp. incana. Its description in RNAcentral is "bacterial SSU rRNA". The stretch from base 371 to 1250 matches the Rfam family "Bacterial small subunit ribosomal RNA". The record is from RNAcentral. Lineage: Eukaryota; Viridiplantae; Streptophyta; Magnoliopsida; Fagales; Casuarinaceae.
AAACUUGUAACUUGUUGGGUAGCUAAAUAAUAGCCAAGCCAAGAAAAAGAUAUAAUUAAGAUUUUGAAAAUGUUUAUUAACUUUUUAUUUUCUAGCAGAUUCUUAGAUAUUUGCUCUUAGACAACUCAUUAUAAGUUAACAAUGGACAGAUAUAGCCAGUUUUUUGAUGUCAAAAUUAUAAUUAGGAAGUAUGACAAAACUUGAUGAGAAAGAGUUCAAGGAAACAAUUCACAUUGUUUAGAGUGGUUCAACUUUAAGCUCUUCUUUAACUUAUAUGUAUAUUUCUUUAGUAUGAUAAAGCUAAAGAAGCCUUUUCAUUAAUCUAUACAACAAUUGAUUCACAUGAGAUCUUCUAAUCCCACACUUAAACAUACACUUUUCUUAACCCUUAGGAAAAACAUUACAAUAAAUAUGCAAAACAUGGUCCUACGGUUCGACACCAGGAGCUCCUUAAGACUGAAUUUUCUCUCAAGACAUUGAGAGACGAAAGCUAAGGGAGUGAAUGAGAUUAGAUACCCUAGUAGUCCUAACUGUAAACGAUGGAUACUAGGCAUUCUGUGUAUCAACCCAUGCAGUGUUGUAGCUAACAUGUUAAGUAUCCUACAUGUGGAGUUUGUUCACAAGAAUAAACUUAAAGGAAUUGAUGAGGCCUUACACAAGUGGUAGAACGUGUGGUUUAACUCGAUGCAAAGCAAAAAAACUUACUAGGGCUUGACAUGCCAUAAAUCCUUUUAAAAAAGAAGGGUGCCUUUGGGAAUGUGGACACAGGUGGUGCAUGGUUGUCGUCAACUCGUGCCUUGAGGUGUUGGGCUAAGUCCCACAAUAAGUGUAACCCUUGUGUUUAGUUGCCACCAUUGAGUUUGGAACCCUAAGUAGAUUGUCAAUGAUAAGCUGGAGGAAGGUGAGGAUAACAUUAAGUCAUCAUGCCCUUUAUGCCUUGGGCAACACACGUGUUACAAUGGCUAGGACAAAGGGUUGCGAUCCUGUGAGGGUGAGCUAACCCUAAAAACCUGUCCUCAAUUUGGAUUGUAGGUUGUAACUUGCUUACGUGAAGCUGAAAUCGCUAGUUAUCACCAAUCAUCCAUACAACGGUGAAUUUGUUUUUGAGCCUUAUAAACACUGCUCGUCACACUAUAGGAGUUAGCCAUGCUUGAAGUUGUUACCUUAACCACAAAGAGGGGGAUGUGGAAGACAAGGCUAAUGAUUGGAGUGAAGUCAUAACAAGGUAGCCUAAUUGGAAGGUGUGGUUG